Adelges cooleyi (spruce gall adelgid) is the source of this 788-nucleotide long non-coding RNA. RefSeq lists it as uncharacterized. The transcript is spliced from 4 exons. Lineage: Eukaryota; Metazoa; Arthropoda; Insecta; Hemiptera; Adelgidae. The record is from RefSeq and is a predicted model, not a curated record.
GUUAAUUUGACACAUUUUGUUUAUUCAUGCGAUUUGUACGUCUUAAUUUCUUAGUAUAUUAUAAUAAUAUACUAUCAUAACUUACUAGAUCUAUGAACUUGUCAACAUUUAUUGUGUUUUAAAUAAUAACAUUGAUAUUAAAUAUCCAUAAUCAAUGUGAAUACCGAGAUGGAGUUUUGCUCAAGUGACAAAUCUAUAAAACCUAAAACCUUACUUAUAAAAUGUAUGCACAUCAAAUGUCAAAAUUAAAGUAUUAUGUCUUUGUUCUGAGAAACUUAUAAAUGUGUAGUUUUGUGUUUUACUAUAUUGGUAUCUGAAUUCAAAGAAAAAAUAUAAAAUUUUUUAUGAAAAAAUUGAAUCUUCAAUCAUCGUUUACUGAAUCAAUAAUAGUAUGUUCAAUAUUAAUAUGGACUAUCUCAACUUACAUUGAUAUUUGUUAUUGUCUACAACUACACUACUACCAACGUCAAAUUUGGUGUAUUAUAUUAUUGUAGUCAAUCAGUCUAAACCAAUUCCAUCAAUACAUUGUCGAAUGUUGUGGUAUUCAAUUUUCAGUAAAUUUAUAGGUGUUUUAUUUUAAGUUACUGUGGCACACUAUUGCAGAUAACGGUUUUCCAUUAAGUCAGUAAGAAGAAUAAGUUGGGUUCACAAGUUCAAAUCAAAUAUUAGACAACUAUAUAUAUUUAGUUAUUCAGCUAAAAAUGUAAUUCAAUAAAAUAAUUUAAAAGUACUUUAUCAUGUUAAAAGUGACAUAAAGUUUUUAAACUCUAAGUAUUUAAACACACGUA